CGAUAACGAACGAGACCUUAACCUGCUAAAUAGUUAGGCCAACGUUUGUUGGUCGUCAACUUCUUAGAGGGACUAUUGACUAUUAGUCAAUGGAAGUUUGAGGCAAUAACAGGUCUGUGAUGCCCUUAGAUGUUCUGGGCCGCACGCGCGCUACACUGAUCGAGUCAACGAGUUUACAACCUUGGCCGGAAGGUCUGGGUAAUCUUUUGAAACUUGAUCGUGCUGGGGAUAGUCCAUUGCAAUUAUUGGACUUCAACGAGGAAUUCCUAGUAAGCGUGAGUCAUCAGCUCGCGUUGAUUACGUCCCUGCCCUUUGUACACACCGCCCGUCGCUACUACCGAUUGAAGGGCU
RNAcentral lists this ribosomal RNA (351 nucleotides) under uncultured fungus. RNAcentral's name for it is "SSU rRNA". It matches the Rfam family "Eukaryotic small subunit ribosomal RNA", at positions 1326 to 1698 of the family's 1831-position model. Lineage: Eukaryota; Fungi. The record is from RNAcentral.